Molecule: transfer RNA, 51 nt
Filed under: Aegilops biuncialis
Lineage: Eukaryota; Viridiplantae; Streptophyta; Magnoliopsida; Poales; Poaceae
Description: partial tRNA-Leu
Source: RNAcentral
GGAAAAUCCGUCGACUUUAUAAGUUGUGAGGGNUCAAGUCCCUCUAUCCCC